CCCUGCCCCAGAUAGCAGCGGCAGCCGCGAGAAUUGGAACACUAUUUUUUACAGCUACUACAGAGCGACCGGCGGAAGCUCCUGGAGUUGCUAGUAAAAAAAAGCGUUCUAAUGGAGGGCUAUAGUGGAUAGCUGGAUAAGGC
This 143-nucleotide small RNA is filed under the name Flavobacterium sp. 103. Its description in RNAcentral is "Flavo-1 RNA". Lineage: Bacteria; Pseudomonadati; Bacteroidota; Flavobacteriia; Flavobacteriales; Flavobacteriaceae. The record is from RNAcentral.